Molecule: RNA transcript, 5565 nt
Organism: Peromyscus leucopus (white-footed mouse)
Lineage: Eukaryota; Metazoa; Chordata; Mammalia; Rodentia; Cricetidae
Gene: Rbm26
Gene name: RNA binding motif protein 26
Exons: 24
Source: RefSeq, a predicted model, not a curated record
CGGCGGCGGCGGCGGCUGCGACUGCGACUGCGACCUGGGCGAGCGCAGGCGUGUGACCGGCCUCCUCGGGGCCGCGGUGCAUGGUCUCUAAGAUGAUCAUUGAAAACUUCGAGGCACUCAAGUCCUGGCUCAGCAAGACCCUCGAGCCCAUCUGUGAUGCCGAUCCAUCAGCCCUAGCAAAAUAUGUUUUAGCUCUGGUAAAGAAAGACAAAAGUGAGAAGGAAUUAAAGGCAUUAUGCAUUGAUCAGCUCGAUGUAUUUCUUCAGAAAGAGACACAAAUAUUUGUGGAAAAACUUUUUGAUGCUGUGAACACAAAGAGUUAUCUACCUCCUCCAGAGCAGCCAUCGUCAGGAAGCCUGAAGGUAGACUUUCUUCAGCACCAAGAAAAAGAUAUAAAAAAAGAAGAGCUCACAAAGGAGGAAGAGCGAGAGAAGAAGUUUUCCAGAAGGCUAAAUCAUAGUCCUCCCCAGUCAAGCUCCCGAUACAGAGACAAUAGAAGCCGUGAUGAGAGGAAAAAAGACGAUCGUUCUCGAAAAAGAGAUUAUGAUCGAAACCCUCCUCGAAGAGAUUCAUACAGAGACCGGUAUAACAGAAGGCGAGGGAGAAGUCGCAGUUACAGCAGGAGUCGGAGUCGAAGUUGGAGUAAAGAGAGGCUUCGCGACAGGGAUAGAGAUAGAAGCAGGACGAGGAGCAGAAGCAGGACACGAAGCCGGGAAAGGGAUCUGGUGAAACCUAAAUAUGACCUGGACAGAACAGAUCCACUAGAAAAUAAUUAUACACCAGUCUCUUCAGUAUCUAAUAUUUCAUCUGGCCACUAUCCUGUACCGACUUUGAGCAGCACCAUUACUGUAAUCGCUCCUACUCAUCAUGGUAAUAACACUACCGAAAGUUGGUCUGAAUUUCAUGAAGACCAGGUAGAUCACAACUCUUAUGUAAGGCCACCAAUGCCAAAGAAGCGGUGUAGAGAUUAUGAUGAAAAGGGGUUUUGUAUGAGAGGAGACAUGUGUCCUUUUGAUCAUGGAAGUGACCCAGUCGUGGUAGAAGAUGUGAACCUGCCUGGGAUGUUGCCUUUCCCAGCACAGCCACCUGUUGUGGAAGGACCACCUCCUCCUGGACUUCCUCCACCUCCUCCAAUUCUUACACCCCCACCUGUGAAUCUUAGACCCCCAGUGCCACCUCCAGGUCCAUUACCACCCAGUCUGCCACCUGUCACAGGACCACCUCCUCCACUUCCUCCUUUACAGCCAUCUGGCAUGGAUGCGCCACCCAACUCUGCAACCAGCUCUGUUCCUACUGUAGUAACAACUGGCAUUCAUCACCAGCCUCCUCCUGCUCCACCCUCUCUUUUUACUGCAGUUUUUGUGUUACCAGAUACAUAUGACACCGAUGGCUACAAUCCUGAAGCACCAAGCAUAACAAACACUUCCAGACCGAUGUAUAGACACAGAGUGCAUGCGCAAAGGCCUAACUUGAUAGGACUAACAUCAGGGGAUAUGGAUUUACCACCUAGAGAAAAGCCUCCUAAUAAAAGCAGCAUGAGGAUAGUAGUGGAUUCAGAAUCAAGGAAAAGAACCAUUGGGUCUGGGGAACCUGGAGUUUCUACAAAGAAGACGUGGUUUGACAAACCAAAUUUUAAUAGGACAAACAGCCCCGGUUUCCAGAAGAAGGUUCAGUUUGGAAACGAAAAUACUAAACUUGAACUUAGGAAAGUUCCUCCAGAAUUAAAUAAUAUCAGCAAACUUAAUGAACAUUUUAGUCGAUUUGGAACACUGGUUAACUUACAGGUUGCCUAUAAUGGUGAUCCUGAAGGUGCACUUAUCCAAUUUGCAACUUAUGAAGAAGCAAAGAAAGCAAUCUCAAGUACAGAAGCGGUAUUGAAUAACCGCUUUAUUAAGGUUUACUGGCACAGAGAAGGAACUACUCAGCAGUUACAGACCACUUCACCAAAGCCGUUAGUUCAGCAGCCUAUUUUACCUGCUGUGAAACAGUCCGUCAAAGAGCGGUUGGGUCCUGUGCCUUCAAGUACUGUUGAACCGGCCGAAGCCCAGAGUGCUACUUCCCAGCUUCCCCAGAAUGUAACUAAGUUAUCUGUGAAGGACAGGUUGGGUUUUGUAUCAAAGCCAUCUGUUUCAGCAACUGAAAAGGUGUUGUCUACAUCUACUGGCCUUACAAAAACGGUGUAUAAUCCAGCUGCUUUGAAGGCUGCACAAAAAACUUUACUAGUUUCUACUUCUGCAGUUGAUAAUAAUGAAGCACAGAAAAAGAAACAGGAGGCACUGAAACUUCAGCAGGAUGUAAGAAAAAGGAAGCAGGAAAUUUUAGAAAAGCACAUUGAAACACAGAAGAUGCUUAUUUCAAAACUGGAGAAAAACAAAACAAUGAAGUCUGAAGAUAAAGCAGAAAUAAUGAAAACAUUAGAGGUUUUGACAAAAAAUAUUACCAAGUUGAAAGAUGAGGUUAAAGCUACAUCUCCUGGACGCUGCCUUCCAAAAAGUAUAAAAACGAAGACUCAGAUGCAGAAAGAAUUGCUUGACACAGAAUUGGAUUUAUAUAAGAAGAUGCAGGCUGGAGAAGAAGUCACUGAACUUAGGAGAAAGUAUACAGAAUUACAGCUAGAGGCUGCUAAAAGAGGAAUUCUUUCAUCUGGCCGAGGUAGAGGGAUUCAUACAAGAGGUCGAGGUGCAGCUCAUGGCCGGGGCAGGGGUAGAGGUCGAGGACGAGGUGUACCUGGACAUGCUGUGGUGGAUCAUCGACCCAGAGCAUUGGAGAUUUCUGCAUUUACAGAGAGUGAUAGAGAAGAUCUUCUUCCUCAUUUUGCGCAAUAUGGGGAAAUUGAGGAUUGUCAGAUUGACGACUCUUCACUUCAUGCGAUAAUUACAUUCAAGACAAGAGCAGAAGCAGAAGCUGCUGCAAUUCAUGGAGCUCGUUUCAAAGGGCAGGAUUUAAAACUGGCAUGGAAUAAACCAAUAACUAAUAUUUCAGCUGUGGAAACGGAAGAAGUUGAACCUGAUGAAGAGGAAUUUCAGGAAGAGUCUUUGGUGGAUGACUCAUUACUUCAAGAUGAUGAUGAAGAAGAAGAGGACAAUGAAUCUCGUUCUUGGAGAAGAUGAUUUGACUGAUCAUUGAUCUGCAUAUGCUAGAACUCUACCUGUGUUUCAUUAGUAUUAUCUAAUGUACUUUUACAUAUUUGUAAAAACAAUUUUUGGUAAAAUAUGAUGAAGAUGGAUUUCAAAAAUAGAUAAAAGAGAAGAAAACUACCUUCUGAUCUUGUAUUUUGAAAGAUUGAUGUUUGCAUUUUAUUUCAGUAAACAAUUGCUAAAGACAUCACAAUAGAACAUAUGCAAUGUUUUUAUUACAUACUUCUAUUGAACAUUACAGAAUUCUUUGGGUUGUUUGUAAAUUAAUGAAUAGAUUUGAAUACUUAUGACCCAAUACUUGUUAUAACAUAGAAGAUUUUGUUUUACUCCAAAUAAGGAAUGAAUUUGCAUUUAAAAUCUUAAUGAAUGUUUUCAAAAAUGAAUAGAUGACAUAGUACCCUAAAGUCUCCAAGUUAUGUAUUCAUAAUAUUACAUAGUAGUAUGCUUAGGCUUUACUAUGUAUUAGCCAUUUGUUGGAUUUGUGUAUGUAUUUUAUCACAUGGGUGUUAAUGAUAAUGGUGUAUGACUGCUUUACGUGAGUUCUUAUGCAUCUGGAUGCUAAAAAUAAAGUGGAAUGGUCUCUUAAAAGAAAAAAAAAGAAAAAAAAAGCAAUGAAAAAAAAAUCCAUGACAAUGUUCCUUGAUUUAAAAAAAAAAAAAAAGAAAAAGAAAAAGAAAAGAAAAAAGAAAAAAAAAGAAAAAAAGAGAGAAAAUGAAACAGACCAUUCCAGAUGGUGAUCUGCCUUCCCCCUAACUAUCAAAAGGAGCUAUAAUCACUAAAUAAUAAUGGUUACUGGUACCUUUGUAAUGAUGUACAAUCCAAUGUUUAAAAUUUAUACCACUUCAGUUUGGUUUGAUCAUAUAAAUUUUCAACAGAUGUCUUAAAAUUUAAAAGCAGGCUGAUUAGUUUGGAACCAGACUUCAAGUAGCGCUAACAUUUGGUGAAUAAGACAACUUCAUAUUACAUUUUGGAUGUAUGAAAGAAAACUUGACCAUUUGAAGAUGUAUGAAUAAAGAAAUGUACUAUAGAUACUACUUUAGGAAAACACUGUUUGUAGUCGUGAAAGAUGCCAAAUUGGCAGAGGCUCACGUUUCUUCUCUUUACACCAAACAGCAGAGAGAGAACAUCACUGCCUGAAUUUAGCUUUGUGACUACAUGAGCAAGCCCUGUCCUGUCCUGUUGUCGGAGAUGACUGUUAAUAUCACCAUCCUGUCAUUUGGUUUGCCCUUUUCCAAUCUGAGCAGAUGUUUACAUGUACUGUGAUGACCAUUUUAUCUUUCCAGUCUGUACGAGUACAUCUCGGCCCAGAGGUGUUAUCAAAUGUGUGAAGUUUCUGACCUUACUCAUAAAUGUUUUCUUUCCUUAUUUUAUAGCAAUUUAAUUUGUAAAACACCCUAAGAAGAAACAAGGACUUUUAGUUUCCGUAUGAGAUAUAUUACAUGGCAGCCAAACUGAGAAUUGUGUCUGGGAAAUCUAUAAAGCCACGAGAGCAUUAAUUGAACAGUUUAGAAUGAAGAAAAUGAAUUAAAAAGUUAAACAUAAGUUUGGCUUUAAUUUUUCUUAUUUUUAGGAUGUAUUUAUUGAAUUAGGAUAGCCACUAAAAAUAAUUUUGAGAAACUAUAAAGUACUUUUCACAUAUUGUAAUGAAUUUGUCUGUUCUUGUGAGUGUAUUCAUUCAUUCAUGUGAUUGCCAGGGCGACUUACUCCAGUGAACCUUUUGUUGUUACUCUUAACUCUUCAAAAACAAGGAAAAUAAUUUUAUUUCUUUUCAAGUAAUAAAUGAUGACCUAUGGGUUCUAAAAUUGAACAUCUACUAAAUUUGUCUAAUUUAUCCAGUUUUCAUCACUUGUAAUCAAGACAUCAAAGACAAUCUUACAAGCAAGGGGAAAUAGUGUUACGUGUUUUUUUAAAGACUAGUUUUCAGCUGCUUUGAAAGUGUAUGUGUGAAUAGUAAGCAAUAUAGCUUAAACUUAGAAAGUGGACAAUUAAAAUUCUCAUUCUAAAUAUUAACAAAGUCUUUUUUAUAGCACACUAGAAUUAUUUUUUCACUAAGUUAUUUUGAGUAUUCACCCAUAGAUUCUUAUAGGUAUUUGAGAAAUCUAACAUAGCCAUUCUUAGAAAAAUCCAAAUUAUAUUGAUUCUGCCUUUUUUUCCUUUCUUUUUUUAAUUUCUACUCAGUCAUACUUUCUUAUACAAAGCUGUUAUCCUACAAACACUUUUUCCCUCUUGAAUAUGCAUUGUGGUUGUCUUCAUGAAUAAUAAAAUGUAAAAAACUCAUUAGUCAUGUUAUAAAUUAUCUGUCUUGAUCCACAUUGAUUAUACAUGCAUGGUUAAAGGAAAAGCAUGUAUUUUAAGUAAUUAUUGCCACCUAAUAGCCUACAAGGCAUUUUGUUUGUUUACCCCCCCUCCCCAGACACACUUUUUUGUU